GAUGAACGCUGGCGGCGUGCCUAAUACAUGCAAGUCGAGCGAACGGACGAGAAGCUUGCUUCUCUGAUGUUAGCGGCGGACGGGUGAGUAACACGUGGAUAACCUACCUAUAAGACUGGGAUAACUUCGGGAAACCGGCGCUAAUACCGGAUGAUCUUUUGAACCGCAUUGUUCAAAGGUGAAAGACGGUCUUGCUGUCACUUAUAGAUGGAUCCGCGCUGCAUUAGCUGGUUGGUAAGGUAACAGCUCACCAAGGCAACGAUGCGUAGCCGACCUGAGAGGGUGAUCGGCCACCUGGGAACGUAGACAGGGUCCAGACUCCUACGGGAGGCAGCAGUAGGGAAUCUUCCGCAAUGGGCGAAAGCCUGACGGAGCAACGGCGCGUGAGUGAUGAAGGUCCUCGGAUCGUAAAACUCUGUUAUUAGGGAAGAACAUAUGUGUAAGUAACUGUGCACAUCGUGACGGUACCUAGUCAGAAAGCCACGGCUAACUACGUG
Molecule: ribosomal RNA, 497 nt
Filed under: uncultured bacterium
Lineage: Bacteria
Description: partial 16S ribosomal RNA
Rfam family: Bacterial small subunit ribosomal RNA
Source: RNAcentral